GACGAACGCUGGCGGCGUGCUUAACACAUGCAAGUCGAACGGAAAGGCCCUGCUUUUGUGGGGUGCUCGAGUGGCGAACGGGUGAGUAACACGUGAGUAACCUGCCCUUGACUUUGGGAUAACUUCAGGAAACUGGGGCUAAUACCGGAUAGGAGCUCCUGCUGCAUGGUGGGGGUUGGAAAGUUUCGGCGGUUGGGGAUGGACUCGCGGCUUAUCCGCUUGUUGGUGGGGUAGUGGCUUACCAAGGCUUUGACGGGUAGCCGGCCUGAGAGGGUGACCGGCCACAAGGGGACUGAGAUACGGCCCAGACUCCUACGGGAGGCAGCAGUGGGGAAUAUUGCACAAUGGGGGGAAGCCUGAUGCAGCAACGCCGCGUGCGGGAUGACGGCCUUCGGGUUGUAAACCGCUUUCGCCUGUGACGAAGCGUGAGUGACGGUAAUGGGUAAAGAAGCACCGGCUAACUACGUG
RNAcentral lists this ribosomal RNA (468 nucleotides) under uncultured bacterium. RNAcentral's name for it is "partial 16S ribosomal RNA". It matches the Rfam family "Bacterial small subunit ribosomal RNA", at positions 28 to 507 of the family's 1533-position model. The record is from RNAcentral.